AUUGAACGCUGGCGGCAGGCCUAACACAUGCAAGUCGAGCGGAUGAAGGGAGCUUGCUCCUGGAUUCAGCGGCGGACGGGUGAGUAAUGCCUAGGAAUCUGCCUGGUAGUGGGGGCUAACGUCCGGACACGGGCGCUAAUACCGCAUACGUCCUGAGGUAGAAAGUGGGGGAUCUUCGGACCUCACGCUAUCAGAUGAGCCUAGGUCGGAUUAGCUAGUUGGUGGGGUAAAGGCCUACCAAGGCGACGAUCCGUAACUGGUCUGAGAGGAUGAUCAGUCACACUGGAACUGAGACACGGUCCAGACUCCUACGGGAGGCAGCAGUGGGGAAUAUUGGGCAAUGGGCGAAAGCCUGAUCCAGCCAUGCCGCGUGUGUGAAGAAGGUCUUCGGAUUGUAAAGCACUUUUAGUUGGGAGGAAGGGCAGUAAGUUAAUACCUUGCUGUUUUGACGGUACCAACAGAAUAAGCACCGGCUAACUUCGUG
RNAcentral lists this ribosomal RNA (484 nucleotides) under uncultured bacterium. RNAcentral describes it as "partial 16S ribosomal RNA". It matches the Rfam family "Bacterial small subunit ribosomal RNA", at positions 30 to 507 of the family's 1533-position model. The record is from RNAcentral.